RNAcentral lists this ribosomal RNA (497 nucleotides) under uncultured bacterium. Its description in RNAcentral is "partial 16S ribosomal RNA". It matches the Rfam family "Bacterial small subunit ribosomal RNA", at positions 28 to 507 of the family's 1533-position model. The record is from RNAcentral.
GAUGAACGCUGGCGGCGUGCCUAAUACAUGCAAGUCGAGCGAACAGAUGAGGAGCUUGCUCCUCUGACGUUAGCGGCGGACGGGUGAGUAACACGUAGAUAACCUACCUAUAAGACUGGGAUAACUUCGGGAAACCGGAGCUAAUACCGGAUAAUAUAUUGAACCGUAUGGUUCAAUAGUGAAAGACGGUUUUGCUGUCACUUAUAGAUGGAUCCGCGCCGCAUUAGCUAGUUGGUAAGGUAACGGCUUACCAAGGCAACGAUGCGUAGCCGACCUGAGAGGGUGAUCGGCCACACUGGAACUGAGACACGGUCCAGACUCCUACGGGAGGCAGCAGUAGGGAAUCUUCCGCAAUGGGCGAAAGCCUGACGGAGCAACGCCGCGUGAGUGAUGAAGGUCUUCGGAUCGUAAAACUCUGUUAUUAGGGAAGAACAAAUGUGUAAGUAACUAUGCACGUCUUGACGGUACCUAAUCAGAAAGCCACGGCUAACUACGUG